This 76-nucleotide transfer RNA is filed under the name Camelus ferus (Wild Bactrian camel). It matches the Rfam family "tRNA". Rfam says of the family: Transfer RNA (tRNA) molecules are approximately 80 nucleotides in length. Their secondary structure includes four short double-helical elements and three loops (D, anti-codon, and T loops). The record is from Rfam by way of RNAcentral. Lineage: Eukaryota; Metazoa; Chordata; Mammalia; Artiodactyla; Camelidae.
GAAGAUAUAGCUCAAAUGGUAGAGUGCAUGCUUAGCAUAGAUGAUGAGGUCCUGGGUUCAAUCCCCAGUACCUCCU